GAUGAGAACGUAGCGAAAUGCGAUAGGUAGUGUGAAUUGCAGAAUUCAGUGAAUCAUCGAAUCUUUGAACGCACAUUGCGCCCCUUGGUAUCCCGAGGGGCAUGCCUGUUCGAGCGUCAUUUCACCACUCAAGCCUGGCUUGGUGUUGGGCGACGUCCCCUUUGGGGACGCGCCUCGAAACGCUCGGCGGCGUGGCACCGGCUUUAAGCGUAGCAGAAUCUUUCGCUUUGGAAGUCGGGGCCCCGUCUGCCGGAAGACCUACUCGCAAGGUUGACCUCGGAUCAGGCAGGGAUACCCGCUGAACUUAAGCAUAUCAAUAAGCGGAGGA
RNAcentral lists this unclassified non-coding RNA (328 nucleotides) under soil metagenome. RNAcentral's name for it is "partial contains 5.8S ribosomal RNA, internal transcribed spacer 2, and large subunit ribosomal RNA". The stretch from base 5 to 119 matches the Rfam family "5.8S ribosomal RNA", at positions 40 to 154 of the family's 154-position model. The record is from RNAcentral.